RNAcentral lists this ribosomal RNA (1737 nucleotides) under Triticum aestivum (bread wheat). RNAcentral's name for it is "partial small subunit ribosomal RNA". The record is from RNAcentral. Lineage: Eukaryota; Viridiplantae; Streptophyta; Magnoliopsida; Poales; Poaceae.
AUGACUUCCAAGACAAUGCCCCAAACCAUCCCAACAAUCCCCAACACUGAAGAAAAGAAGCAGUGUUCUCAGAAUGAUUCCUCUCUGGAUCUCACCAGUUCGAGUAAACCCAGUACAGGCUUGCCAAGAAAAUUGCCCGAAUCGGCUAUCCCGAGCAGUCCAAACAAAGAAGUCCAGUCCAAUGACCAGAAACCAUCUCACAAGCUACAUGAGUCCGUUGAUGUUACAUCCAGCAAGGUUCCUGCAGAUGAUGAGAAGGAUACAGUGGAAAAUGGAAACACAGAUGGAAACGUGAAAUCAGACUCGACGGUAGAUAAGGAUCAUGGUGCAGCUAGUGCAAGUGGAAGUGCCAGGUUGACAGGAAGGUCUGAGACUGGAGAAAGAGGUAUUAGUAGCCGAUGCAGGCCGAGCACAGGCAGUGAUGUCAGCGAGGAAAGCGCGUGCAGCAGUUUUAGUAGCACCAGCAAGCCUCACAAGGCAAAUGAUUCACGGUGGGAGGCAAUCCAGAUGAUCAGGACUAGAGAUGGGAUUCUUGGCCUCAGCCAUUUUAAGCUAUUGAAGAAGCUAGGUUGUGGUGACAUCGGCAGUGUGUAUCUUUCAGAGUUGACUGGAACCAAGAGCUAUUUUGCAAUGAAGGUUAUGGACAAGGCAUCACUCACAGGCCGUAAGAAGUUGCUUCGAGCCCAGACUGAGAAGGAAAUCUUACAGUGCUUGGAUCAUCCUUUUCUUCCAACACUGUACACACACUUUGAGACUGACAAGUUCUCAUGUCUGGUUAUGGAGUUUUGCCCUGGGGGAGACUUGCAUACACUUCGACAGAAACAGCGUGGCAAGUAUUUUCCAGAACAAGCUGUCAAAUUCUAUGUAGCAGAAAUCCUCCUUGCUAUGGAGUACUUGCACAUGCUCGGUAUCAUAUAUCGUGAUCUGAAGCCUGAAAACAUUCUUGUCCGUGAUGACGGGCACAUCAUGCUAUCCGACUUCGACCUCUCCCUUCGCUGUACAGUUAGCCCGACUUUAAUCAGGUCAUCCAAUCCCGAAACAGAAGCACUUCGGAAGAGCAGCCAAGCCUACUGUGUUCAACCAGCUUGUGCAGAGCCAUCCUGCAUGAUACAGCCAUCGUGCACAGCUCCCACAACAUGCUUUGGCCCUCGGUUCUUCUCGAAGUCGAAGAAAGAUCGAAAGCCAAAGCCUGAAGUUGUCAACCAGGUCCGUCCAUGGCCCGAGCUCAUGGCAGAACCUAGUGAUGCGCGAUCAAUGUCAUUUGUUGGCACACAUGAGUAUUUGGCCCCUGAGAUUAUCAAAGGUGAGGGCCACGGCAGUGCUGUUGACUGGUGGACCUUUGGUAUAUUCUUAUACGAGCUUCUGUUCGGCAAAACACCUUUCAAAGGUUCAGGUAACCGAGCGACUCUGUUCAAUGUCAUCGGUCAGCCGUUGCGUUUCCCAGAAUACCCAUUUGUGAGCUUCUCAGCAAGAGAUUUAAUAAGGGGCCUACUUGUUAAGGAGCCCCAACAACGAUUGGGUUGUAAGCGUGGCGCCACCGAGAUAAAACAGCAUCCAUUUUUUGAGGGUGUGAAUUGGGCGUUGAUACGCUGUGCGAGCCCUCCAGAGGUUCCGAAGCCUGUUGAGAUUGAGAGGCAGACUACAAAGCUGCCAGUGUCAACAUCUGAGGCUAGUGCAGCACCUACUGGUGCAUCCCAGAAAGGCUCGGAUAACUAUUUAGAGUUUGAUUUCUUUUAG